AACGAACGCUGGCGACAUGCCUAACACAUGCAAGUCGAACGAGACCUUCGGGUCUAGUGGCGCACGGGUGCGUAACGCGUGGGAACCUGCCCUUAGGUUCGGAAUAACUCCCCGAAAGGGGUGCUAAUACCGGAUAAUGUCUUCGGACCAAAGAUUUAUCGCCUUUGGAUGGGCCCGCGUUGGAUUAGCUAGUUGGUAGGGUAAAAGCCUACCAAGGCGACGAUCCAUAGCUGGUCUGAGAGGAUGAUCAGCCACACUGGGACUGAGACACGGCCCAGACUCCUACGGGAGGCAGCAGUGGGGAAUAUUGGACAAUGGGCGAAAGCCUGAUCCAGCAAUGCCGCGUGAGUGAUGAAGGUCUUAGGGUUGUAAAGCUCUUUUACCCGGGAUGAUAAUGACAGUACCGGGAGAAUAAGCUCCGGCUAACUCCGUG
Molecule: ribosomal RNA, 433 nt
Filed under: uncultured bacterium
Lineage: Bacteria
Description: partial 16S ribosomal RNA
Rfam family: Bacterial small subunit ribosomal RNA
Source: RNAcentral